RNAcentral lists this ribosomal RNA (505 nucleotides) under uncultured delta proteobacterium. RNAcentral describes it as "partial 16S ribosomal RNA". The record is from RNAcentral. Lineage: Bacteria; Deltaproteobacteria.
CACAGAGUUAGCCGGUGCUUCCUUUGAGGGUACCGUCACCUCCCGAAGCUAUUAACUUCAAGAGCAUUCGUUCCCUCCGACAGAGCUUUACGACCCGAAGGCCUUCAUCACUCACGCGGCGUUGCUGCGUCAGGCUUUCGCCCAUUGCGCAAUAUUCCCCACUGCUGCCUCCCGUAGGAGUCUGGACCGUGUCUCAGUUCCAGUGUGGCUGAUCAUCCUCUCAGACCAGCUAACCAUCUUUGCCUUGGUGAGCCGUUACCUCACCAACUAGCUAAUGGUACGCAGGCCCAUCUCUUAGCGAUAGCGUAUAAAUAGAGGCUACCUUUGACCUCUGUCUCCGAGGAGACCGUGGUCUUAUUUGGUAUUAGCUCGUCUUUCGACAAGUUAUCCCAAUCUUAGAGGCAGGUUACCUACGUGUUACUCACCCGUGCGCCACUUUACUCGGAGCCGAAGCCCCUUUCUCGUUCGACUUGCAUGUGUUAGGCACGCCGCCAGCGUUCGUUCG